This 380-nucleotide ribosomal RNA is filed under the name uncultured bacterium. RNAcentral's name for it is "bacterial SSU rRNA". It matches the Rfam family "Bacterial small subunit ribosomal RNA", at positions 28 to 404 of the family's 1533-position model. The record is from RNAcentral.
GACGAACGCUGGCGGCGUGCUUAACACAUGCAAGUCGAGCGGUAAGGCCCUUUCGGGGUACGACGAGCGGCGAACGGGUGAGUAACACGUGGGUGACCUCGCCUCUAGCUCUGGGAGUAAGACCCGGGAAACCGUAGGGUCGUAAUACUGGAUAUGACUCCAUGACGCAUGUUGUGGGGUGGAAAGCCUUGUGCGGCUAGAGAUGGGCCCGCGCUAUCAGCUUGUUGGUGGGGUGAUGGCCUACCAAGGCGACGACGGUAGCCGGCCUGAGAGGGCGACCGGCCACACUGGGACUGAGACACGGCCCAGACUCCUACGGGAGGCAGCGAGUGGGGAAUCUUGCGCAAUGGGCGAAAGCCUGACGCAGCGACGCCGCGUGA